Molecule: ribosomal RNA, 141 nt
Filed under: Triticum aestivum (bread wheat)
Lineage: Eukaryota; Viridiplantae; Streptophyta; Magnoliopsida; Poales; Poaceae
Description: partial small subunit ribosomal RNA
Source: RNAcentral
AUGGACUUGGACCCGCGCAUGGUGGAUUCACAAUCCACUGCCUUGAUCCACUUGGCUACAUCCGCCCCUUAUCCAUCUAAAGGAUUUUUUUUCCUUUUUCCUUUUUCCAUUGAUCAUUAUUCUAUUUAUUCUGACCACUGA